Molecule: ribosomal RNA, 576 nt
Filed under: Mesoheros festae
Lineage: Eukaryota; Metazoa; Chordata; Actinopteri; Cichliformes; Cichlidae
Description: partial 16S ribosomal RNA
Rfam family: Bacterial large subunit ribosomal RNA
Source: RNAcentral
CGCCUCUUGAAACAAAAACAUAAGAGGUCCCGCCUGCCCAGUGACUAUAAGUUUAACGGCCGCGGUAUUUUGACCGUGCAAAGGUAGCGCAAUCACUUGUCUUUUAAAUGAAGACCCGUAUGAAUGGCACCACGAGGGUUCAACUGUCUCCUUUUUCCUGUCAAUGAAAUUGAUCUCCCCGUGCAGAAGCGGGGAUUCCUCCAUAAGACGAGAAGACCCUAUGAAGCUUUAGGCGCCAGAACAGACUAUGUUAAACACCCUAACCCAAAAGACAAAACUAAUUAGGUCCUGUUCCAAUGCCUUUGGUUGGGGCGACCGCGGGGAAACAAAAAACCCCCAUGUGGACUAGGAGCAACCUUACUCCCACAACCCAGGGCUGCAGCCCUAAGUAACAGAAUCUCUGACCAUAAAUGAUCCGGUACAACCGAUCAACGAACCGAGUUACCCUAGGGAUAACAGCGCAAUCCCCUUCUAGAGUCCCUAUCGACAAGGGGGUUUACGACCUCGAUGUUGGAUCAGGACAUCCUAUUGGUGCAACCGCUAUUAAGGGUUCGUUUGUUCAACGAUUAAAGUCCU